Molecule: ribosomal RNA, 2307 nt
Filed under: human gut metagenome
Description: bacterial LSU rRNA
Rfam family: Bacterial large subunit ribosomal RNA
Source: RNAcentral
CUAAGAUACUAAGAGCAUACGGUGGAUGCCUUGGCGAUAUCUGCCGACGAAGGACGCGAUAAGCUGCGAAAAGCUGCGGUGAGGUGCAAAUAACCAUUGACCCGCAGAUAUCCGAAUGGAGCAAUCCGGCUGUGGUCAUGCACAGUCAUCCAUGUCAUAGAACAUGAGAAGGGAACCCGGCGAACUGAAACAUCUAAGUAGCCGGAGGAAAAGAAAUCAACCGAGAUACCCCAAGUAGCGGCGAGCGAACGGGGCAGACGCCCAAACCGGAGAAGGAAACUUCUUCGGGGUUGCGGACUGUCAACAAUCGAGCAAAGUUAGCCGAAUCUGUUGGGAAACAGAGCCGAAGACAGUGAGAGCCUGGUAGGCGAAAACGGAGCUCGAGGGACAGGAUCCAGAGUACCGCGGGACACGAGAAACCCCGUGGGAAACCGGGGGGACCACCCUCCAAGGCAAAACACAGAUAUCGACCGAUAGCGCAUAGUACCAUGAGGGAAAGGUGAAAAGCACCCCGGGAGGGGAGUGAAAGAGAACCUGAAACCGUAUGUUUACAAACAGUCGAAGACCGUAUAUAUAUCAGGUCGACGGCGUGCCUAUUGAAGAAUGAGCCAGCGAGUUACGAGGUCCGGCGAGGUUAAGCAGGAAAUGCGGAGCCGAAGCGAAAGCGAGUCUGAACAGGGCGCGAGUCGGAUUGCGUAGACCCGAAACCACAGUGAUCUACCCAUGUCCAGGUUGAAGCACAGGUAAAAAUGUGUGGAGGACCGAACCUAUAUCUGUUGAAAAAGGUUAGGAUGAGGUGUGGGUAGGGGUGAAAUUCCAAUCGAACGUGGAGAUAGCUGGUUCUCCCCGAAAUAGCUUUAGGGCUAGCCUCAGGGUGAGAUUGCAGGCGGUAGAGCACUGAUCAGGAGAGGGACCUACCCGGUUACCAAACCCAGUCAAACUACGAAUGGCUGUAAUUAUACCUGGGAGUCAGACUACGAGCGAUAAGACCCGUGGUCAAAAGGGAAACAGCCCAGAUCAUCAGCUAAGGUCCCAAAUGCCGUGCUAAGUGGCGAAGGAUGUGGCGUUUCAUAAACAACCAGGAUGUUGGCUCAGAAGCAGCCACCAUUUAAAGAGUGCGUAAUAGCUCACUGGUCGAGAGACGCUGCGCCGAAAAUGUCCGGGGCUCAAGCACGGAACCGAAGCUAUGGCAUUGCUUAGGCAAUGGGUAGGGGAGCGUUCUUACCGGGGUGAAGCAGUACCGUAAGGAGCUGUGGACAGGUAAGAAGUGAGAAUGCUGGCAUGAGUAUCGAAAAGAAAGGUGAGAAUCCUUUCCACCGAAAGCCCGAGGGUUCCUGAGCAACGAUCGUCGUCUCAGGGUAAGUCGGGACCUAAGCCGAGGCGGAGAAGCGUAGGCGAUGGACAACAGGUUGAAAUUCCUGUACUGCUUUAUGUCGUUUGAGUGAUGGAGUGACGCAGGAGGGCACAUGAUCGCGCGAUUGGAAGAGCGCGUCCAAGCAUGUAGUUUGAAUAUGAGUAAAAUGCCAUAUUCUGAAAGACGAGAUGUGACGGGGAAUUAGAGGAAACUCUGAGGAACUCAUGGAUCCCACACUGCCGAGAAAAGCUUCUAGCGAGACAUAAGGCACCCGUACCGUAAACCGACACAGGUAGGCGGGGAGAGAAUCCUAAGGUGCGCGGGAAAACCCUCGUUAAGGAACUCGGCAAAUUGCAUCCGUAACUUCGGGAAAAGGAUGACCCUGAGUAGGCGAAGGACAGAAACGUCCGGAACCGGAAAGGGUGGCAGAAAAGAGGCCCAAGCAACUGUUUACCAAAAACACAGGUGCCUGCGAAAGCGAAAGCUGAAGUAUAGGUGCUGACGCCUGCCCGGUGCUGGAAGGUUAAGGAGAGAUGUCAGCGAAAGCGAAGCAUUGAACUGAAGCCCCAGUGAACGGCGGCCGUAACUAUAACGGUCCUAAGGUAGCGAAAUUCCUUGUCGGGCAAGUUCCGACCCGCAUGAAAGGCGUAAUGAUUUGGGCACUGUCUCAACGAGGGGCCCGGUGAAAUUGAAAUACCUGUGAAGAUGCAGGUUACCCGCGACUGGACAGAAAGACCCCAUGGAGCUUUACUGCAGCUUGAGACGGAAUUCCGGUGAUAGAUGCACAGGAUAGGUGGGAGGCUUAGAGUACCGGACUUUGGUCUGGUAGGAGCCGCUGUUGGGAUACCACCCUUCUGUUGCUGGAAUUCUAACGCGAAGAGUAACGACCUUGCGGACAAUCUCAGGCAGGCGGUUUGACUGGGGCGGUCGCCUCCGAAAGAGUAACGGAGGCG